This 492-nucleotide ribosomal RNA is filed under the name uncultured bacterium. Its description in RNAcentral is "partial 16S ribosomal RNA". It matches the Rfam family "Bacterial small subunit ribosomal RNA", at positions 29 to 507 of the family's 1533-position model. The record is from RNAcentral.
AGUGAACGCUGGCGGUAGGCCUAACACAUGCAAGUCGAACGGCAGCACAGUAAGAGCUUGCUCUUACGGGUGGCGAGUGGCGGACGGGUGAGGAAUACAUCGGAAUCUACUUUUUCGUGGGGGAUAACGUAGGGAAACUUACGCUAAUACCGCAUACGACCUACGGGUGAAAGCAGGGGAUCUUCGGACCUUGCGCGAUUGAAUGAGCCGAUGUCGGAUUAGCUAGUUGGCGGGGUAAAGGCCCACCAAGGCGACGAUCCGUAGCUGGUCUGAGAGGAUGAUCAGCCACACUGGAACUGAGACACGGUCCAGACUCCGACGGGAGGCAGCAGUGGGGAAUAUUGGACAAUGGGCGCAAGCCUGAUACAGCCAUACCGCGUGGGUGAAGAAGGCCUUCGGGUUGUAAAGCCCUUUUGUUGGGAAAGAAAAGCAGCAGGUUAAUACCCCGCUGUUCUGACGGUACCCAAAGAAUAAGCACCGGCUAACUUCGUG